CCCGGGCCGGACGCGAGCAGCAGCCGGGGGCGGCGACGGGGGGUCGGGAGGACGGCGGCCCGCGCGGCUCCCACGCUUCCGCCCGAGUCAGGAGUUGAACAUUCCGCCUCUCCGCCCAGCGCCAAUGAGGAAGACAGUGCCCGCAACAGCACCACCUACCUCCGAGCGUGGAACGGCCGGAGGGCGCGCGGGGCUUGGGGAAGACGCCGGGCCUCCCCGGGGUCCUCCCGGGUGCGCCUGCCCUCAGGUGGCACCUGCCCUGCCGUGGGGGCUCAGGCGGGGUGGCUCUGUGCGCUGUGCACCUUCACAUCUUUUGAACAAGUUAACACCACCUAUUUCCUCAACUCAGCCCUUACCAACAAACAUUUCCUGUGGAAUACAGAGAUGCAAGGCUGCUUCCCCCGCUACAGGAGUUAAUUACCUAGCUGGGAAGAGGACAGACCGAUCCAAUAAACAGAGAUGAGCUUUCAUCGCCAGAAAACUACAUCUUACCCCAGCUCUAUGUCUGGUUUUGGAGGAACAUUCUGUGACCCUGUGGGACUACUAUAGCGUGGAACAUACUCUAGAAUAUUCUGACAUUAAAAAAGAUACAUGUCAACUGCACUAGUCAGAGUGAGGAUUUAAUAAUAUGGAUAACUGUUGAACCACUGUGUUGAACACUUGAAACCACUAUAAGAUUGUGUAUCAAAUAUACUUCAAUAAAAAAGUAAAUGAAAUGAACAAAAUGAAAAAACUGAAAA
Manis pentadactyla (Chinese pangolin) is the source of this 740-nucleotide long non-coding RNA. RefSeq lists it as uncharacterized. The transcript is spliced from 3 exons. The record is from RefSeq and is a predicted model, not a curated record. Lineage: Eukaryota; Metazoa; Chordata; Mammalia; Pholidota; Manidae.